UGACCAACCUGCCCCUUGCUCUGGGAUAACCCCGGGAAACCGGAGCUAAUACCGGAUACGGGACCGUGCGGCAUCACGCGGUCUGGAAAGUUUUUCGGCAAGGGAUGGGGUCGCGGCCUAUCAGCUUGUUGGUGGGUAAUGGCCCACCAAGGCGACGACGGGUAGCCGGCCUGAGAGGGCGACCGGCCACACUGGGACUGAGACACGGCUCAGACUCCUACGGGAGGCA
Molecule: ribosomal RNA, 229 nt
Filed under: uncultured bacterium
Lineage: Bacteria
Description: partial 16S ribosomal RNA
Rfam family: Bacterial small subunit ribosomal RNA
Source: RNAcentral